UGGGGAGGCGGGAUUGUCGUUGCUGGCUGUUACCAGGACAACCGGAGGCGAUUGACCGUUAUCUGCGGUUUGCAGCCGUUAGCGGGAGAGGCAGAGAAGUUCAGAGGUGAAAUGAAGUGUGGCCCAGUGGCUCCUCAUUGUCGCUUCUCUAGUUUUCUGCCUCCUUUUAGAAAAUUUGAGAUAAUUUAGGGAAACCAUUUUGUGUCCUGCAUAUAUGGGCGAAUACAAUAUAAUUUUGGUAUCAAUAGCAACAAAGAAGGCAUUGAAGACUUUAAAUCUGUUUACAGUGAAUUGAGAAGACAGGAUGAAGUGGACACAGCAUGUGAAGACAAUUCUUUCAAGAAGUUUGGCUGUCAAGGAAAAUAGAGAAUGUGAGUAGCUGAAGGAGAAUGACAGGUGAAAGAA
Molecule: long non-coding RNA, 405 nt
Filed under: Rhinopithecus roxellana (golden snub-nosed monkey)
Lineage: Eukaryota; Metazoa; Chordata; Mammalia; Primates; Cercopithecidae
Description: lncRNA (ENSRROG00000046030.1)
Source: RNAcentral